RNAcentral lists this ribosomal RNA (554 nucleotides) under uncultured Corallina sp. RNAcentral's name for it is "bacterial SSU rRNA". The stretch from base 8 to 477 matches the Rfam family "Bacterial small subunit ribosomal RNA", at positions 33 to 541 of the family's 1533-position model. The record is from RNAcentral. Lineage: Eukaryota; Rhodophyta; Florideophyceae; Corallinales; Corallinaceae.
GAGCGAUACGCUGGCGGUAUGCUCACAGUGUACGUCGAACGAAAGUUAUACUUUAGUGGCGGACGGGUGAUAUAUGAGAAUCUACCUUUAGGAAGGGAAUAACAAUUGGAAACGAUUGCUAAUGCCCUAUAUGCUUAGCAGUGAAACAGAUUUAUCUUGCCUGCAAGAUGAGCUCGACGCCUGACUUAGCUACGUUGGUAGAGUAAAAGCCUACCAAGGCAACGAUCAGUAGCUGGUUUGAGAGGACGAUCAGACACACUGGGACUUGAGACACGGACCAGACUUCUACGGAAGUGCAGCAGUGGGGAAUUUUCCGCAAUGAGCGAAAGCUUGACGGAGCAAUACCGCGUGAGGGAAGAAUGCCUGUGGGUUGUCAACCUCUUUUAUAAGGAAGAAAAUAUGACGGUACCUACAAGAAUAAGCCAUCGGCUCAAUCCGUGCCCAGCAGACAGGGAUAAUACCGGGGAUGCAAAGCGUUAUCCAGGAAUUACUUGAGCGGUUAAAGCCGUCUUGGAAGGUGGGCUUCAAAAAGAUCUGGAUGGUUAAAUAUUAAA